Molecule: non-coding RNA, 946 nt
Organism: Epinephelus lanceolatus (giant grouper)
Lineage: Eukaryota; Metazoa; Chordata; Actinopteri; Perciformes; Serranidae
Source: RefSeq, a predicted model, not a curated record
GCCCAUUAAAAGUAGCUGUGUGCAGCCGGCCACAGGCUUUCCUCAUCUGUCCUGUCUCCAUGUUUGAGAGAGAUCAUGUCACAACAAGGCGUUGUUUGCAGUAGGACUCACCCCCAUCCCACGACACCACAUGAGUGCUGCGUGUGUGUGCUGGAUCACAUGUGGGGCAAUUGUUUGGUCACUGUAACCUGUUGCCCAAGUCUGUCGUAGGAGCAAGGAGUAUGAUGUUGGUGUCCUAUAUGCACUAGUUCCAUUGUACUUGAGCAAAGGCGGAGCUCUGUUGCCACUGCUGUUUUUGUCCUGUAGUUAAUUUAGUUUCCAUACCCUUUUUUGUUUUUUUUUUCUUUUUUGCUUCUAUUCAUUUGUGAUAGUUGAUUUGGACAAUUUUCUGUCUUAAGGCAGACUCAGUUGGCUCUACCCUGUUGCAUUGUAUGUGUAUAUGGAUUAUGUGAAGGCCUGUAACGUGAGGGAGCCAUUUUACUCUGUUCUGUACACCUUUAUUUUAUAAAUUGACGUGGGUGUGUAGCCUGUAUAACCUGAGACUUGUGAUAUUGCUGGGUUUCUUUUCUGCCAGUCACAAGAUGGUUGGGUUGUUAUAUGCCUGUAGGUGGUUGGUCACUGGGUGGAGCUUUUCGGCUAUCCAGGGUUUUUUUCUUUUAUCUGCUGUGGCCUUAACGUGUGUGUGCGUGUGUCCCUCUGCAUGAAGAGUGGGACAUUCUCUAUUGCAUGUGUUUGCUGUAUGUAUUAACCCGUGUGCCUUUUUGUCUUGCAGUGCAUGUUUAAACUCCCUUCAUGCUCGUGGUGGUGGUUUCCUCCCCCCCCUUCACUCCCAUCCUCCUGUGGGUUAUCCUGGCACCCUUCCCCCUGUACUGCCUCUAUUUUCAGCUUCUUUCCCCAAUAAGUUAAAUACUGGUGGAUUUAAAUAAAAGUGCUAUUUUGAAACUAG